CUUUAGCUAGGGGAUCCUUCAUCCAAGCUCCCUCAUUGCGCCCAUAACUGUGCUGCUUCUCUGGCUGCUCAAUGGAUGCUAAAGUCCCUUCACAGUUGAGGAUCUUCCCUGGAAGAAAGAAGCACAGCAUUCAACAUAGCUGGGCGUGGUGAUCUGGUCCUCUCUUCCUGCCUCUCCACCUGCACACCUGCAAUCAUUUACCUCCAAUCAACUCCACCUCCUCACUACAGUUAAAAGACAGGCUGCCUCACUCCAUCUCUACCAGAAUGGUUCACUUGCCUCCCGCUGUUGCUUUGUGUGCCCAGCUCAAUCCCCUUUUGAUGGAUUUUCCUGGCGUCCUGACCUUCCAUGUGUGUGUCGGUGUUAGCGUGAAGCCCCUCAAGCCCUCCUGGAUCAGUAGACACUGCCUACAAGAAAGGGCCAACCCACUUCACAGUUUUUGAGGCUCUGAAUGAGUUUUUGUUAAACUUGAAAAAACAACUCUUAUGAUGUUCUCAGGACUGCAUUGACUUGGGUCAAAAGAUGUUAUUGGUGGCAUCAUACUGUAGGAA
Scatophagus argus is the source of this 551-nucleotide long non-coding RNA. RefSeq lists it as uncharacterized. The transcript is spliced from 4 exons. The record is from RefSeq and is a predicted model, not a curated record. Lineage: Eukaryota; Metazoa; Chordata; Actinopteri; Scatophagidae.